AUUGAACGCUGGCGGAAUGCUUUACACAUGCAAGUCGAACGGCAGCACGGACUUCGGUCUGGUGGCGAGUGGCGAACGGGUGAGUAAUGUAUCGGAACGUGCCCAGUCGUGGGGGAUAACGUAGUGAAAAUUACGCUAAUACCGCAUACGAUCUAUGGAUGAAAGCGGGGGAUCGCAAGACCUCGCGCGAUUGGAGCGGCCGAUAUCAGAUUAGGUAGUUGGUGGGGUAAAGGCCCACCAAGCCAACGAUCUGUAGCUGGUCUGAGAGGACGCCUAGCCACACUGGAACUGAGACACGGUCCAGACUCCUACGGGAGGCAGCAGUGGGGAAUUUUGGACAAUGGGCGAAAGCCUGAUCCAGCCAUUCCGCGUGCAGGAUGAAGGCCCUCGGGUUGUAAACUGCUUUUGUACAGAACGAAAAGGUUUCUACUAAUACUAGGAGCUCAUGACGGUACUGUAAGAAUAAGCACCGGCUAACUACGUGCCAGCCGCCGCGGUAA
RNAcentral lists this ribosomal RNA (500 nucleotides) under uncultured bacterium. RNAcentral describes it as "partial 16S ribosomal RNA". It matches the Rfam family "Bacterial small subunit ribosomal RNA", at positions 30 to 523 of the family's 1533-position model. The record is from RNAcentral.